UACGGGGGGGGCAAGCGUUGUUCGGAAUUACUGGGCGUAAAGGGCGCGUAGGCGGCCCGCUAAGUCGAACGUGAAAUCCCCGAGCUCAACUCGGGAACUGCGUCCGAUACUGGCGGGCUUGAAUCCGGGAGAGGGAUGCGGAAUUCCAGGUGUAGCGGUGAAAUGCGUAGAUAUCUGGAGGAACACCGGUGGCGAAGGCGGCAUCCUGGACCGGCAUUGACGCUGAGGCGCGAAAGCUAGGGGAGCAAACGGGG
RNAcentral lists this ribosomal RNA (254 nucleotides) under uncultured bacterium. RNAcentral describes it as "partial 16S ribosomal RNA". It matches the Rfam family "Bacterial small subunit ribosomal RNA", at positions 524 to 777 of the family's 1533-position model. The record is from RNAcentral.